CCCUGAAGAAGGGAUACCAGAGCCAACCAGCUGGUGUUCAAGGCACGGUGAGGAAAAGAAAGGUGUGGUGGUCACGGCAUUGACCUGCUGGAAAACGUGCCACCCAGGACAGAGAACGAGCUACUGAGGAUGUUCUUCAGGCAGCAGGAGGAGCUGAGAAAGCUGAAGGAGGAGCUGAACACCAAGGACGUUAAAAUACGCCAGCUGGAGCUGGAACUCAACAACCUGAGGAACGUCAGCCCCGUUGGAAACAAUGUCUGACCUCUGACCUCUAGCUUAUGGCACCACCAUCACCACCAUGCCACGUCCAGRGUCCUCCCUCCCUUUCAUUGUGUAUCAUUUGUACUUCCUGUUGCAAUUGAUAAUGUAAUAGCCACCGGAUAAUGUAAAGACUGAUUAUAACGUUUGUGUAACAAUUUUUGUUAUCGAUAAUGUAAUCAUAUUGACAUCACUGUUAAAUCCCUCAAUUGACAACAUAAUAACCAACUGGUAAUGUAAUUUAUUGUUAUAAGAUUUUUUUUAAAUUCUUUUCGAUUGAUGUAUCCUGAUAUCCGGUUUGGUUUCAUUAUGAUUAGUUAUUACAUCAUCAGUCGCAAUACACCCCUCCCCCCUACUGCAGAGCACCAUCAGUGUAUCCCCGGGGUCCUCACACCCCACCUGCCAUGUCAUGCCCCUCUGAGUCCACGUGGCAAAGCCUUUGUCAUCACCCAGAAAUGCCACCCCCAAAUCCUCCAACCUCCACCCUGCCAUCACCAGAGACUACUCUGGGGAAAGAGAUUGACUUCCCCCUUCUACCCCAAUCCUCCCCCAUGGCCUAUCCACUGCAAACCAACUCACAGCAAAGCUGCAACAUCUCAACCUCCCAAUGGAAGAGUCUUCUACUAGUUCCAACUACUGUGGAUGAUGAGUUUUACAGGGACAUGAAUGAAGAUGAGUUUUACAGGGACAUGAAUGAGGAUGAUGAGUUUUACAGGGACAUGAAUGAGGUGUAUUUCAAGACAGUUUUUUUUCUUCAUCUCUCCUAAGAAUGUGUUGUCUGUAAAAAGCUGCAGCUCUGGCUCAGACUGGCAUACAGCAACCCAAAUGUAGUCUUAAUGGGCAGUUUGUCUGUCGCCUCAGUCAUUAUCUUUAGGAGAAGUUUUGUUGGAAAAUGUAUUAUUGUUACUAUUUAUUUGUUAUAURUMAUGUUUUUAGCUAACUCUUUAUGCAGAAACAUUCAUCUCAUGUCUUUGGGAGAAAUCGUGGUCAUGAAAAUGAUGGCUGACACACUUGUGAUUGAAUUAUGUUUUCACCCAAAUGGUGGCAAUUUGUAAGUAUACUCAAACAGAUCCUGUAUUUUCUAGAUUGAAUCGACACAAUACUCAAAUCUGGUAAAUUGRAAUAUUAGUCAACAUGAAAUUAGGUUAUGUACGUAACAGUACAUCAAACUGAAAUAUUAAUACAAUAUUUGUCUUUAUACCUUUCAGCUAUGAAUAUUCUAUUUAAGAAAGUUACCCACAUUGUUAAUCUGAGGUAUUCCACAUGAUCCAUUCCACUCAAGUUAAGACUCUGAUACUUCCUGUAGUUCAGGUUACCUAUACUAUACCUCUACASAGGAAUCAUUAUUUGUACCAUUGUCAUAAUAUUGUCAUAAUCGGUAACAUACUCUGCAGGGGUUGACUGACUAAAUGAAUGAAACAGCAAUAUUACUUACACAAGGUAAUUAUUUACAUCUUUACCCCUAACAUAUACCUUGUAAAGACCCCCCCUCAAAUGUUAUACUGUAAUAGUGUGUCCUUAUCCAAUGAAGACGCCUAGCAAACAAAUGUAGGUACAGUAGGGUGGUUGCCAGGUGUUACAUUUUGCUUUAGCCAACCCCUCUGGCAUUCAUUGUCGUGCCGUAUGGACAUUGGAGAAGUUGCCUUAAGCUCUUACAGGUGUGGGUGGCUAGCACCAGACUAUAGGCACAGCGCCCUGUGGGCAUCUAGUCUGGCAACAGUGAAGGUGAACAUGGUGGAUAAGGUCAGGUCAGCCCGUAGAGAAUGACAGAGGUCUCAAGUGGCCUAAAGGAGGGAUUCACAGUGUGUUUCACUGUGAAGACGCAGCAGUAUGCAAGGUGAGUGAAAAGCGCUGCAGUAUUGUUUGAAUGGGAGGAUAACUAACCAUUUGGUGGAGAUGAUGAUGAUGGCCUAUAGGUGUAGUAAAUACUGGUCGACGACCAUCUAAAUGCCUAAUUGUACUAUGUGCUGAUGAAACUGUGCAGAAUGACAAUUCUCUCAGAAAGACAGAACAUUGUACUGUGUCAGUUAGCCUAUAAUACAUCCUGUUUCACCUCAUUGAUCUACAAGUCCCAACAACUAAAAUCAAUUUGUCAAGUUAAUACAAUGAGUGGAUAAACCAGA
This is a long non-coding RNA of Salvelinus sp. IW2-2015, 2381 nucleotides long. RefSeq lists it as uncharacterized. Lineage: Eukaryota; Metazoa; Chordata; Actinopteri; Salmoniformes; Salmonidae. The record is from RefSeq and is a predicted model, not a curated record.